AUGUCCCCCUUCUCAUCACUUUAACUAGCACCAGGAGCUGCUGGCAUGCUUCAGAAAGCUUACAUUUGAACACAGUCUAAAUCUGUACAGACCCUUGACCGGCUUAAUCCUUGCUUGUAAAUGACAAUGCAGAGGAAGAAAAAAAAUAAAAAACUACUUCCUUUCCUGUUGGAUACCUAAUAAGUAGUUAGUCUGACCCAGUUUUCAAUAAGAGCGAUUUUCUGAUGACCCAACAGGAGUGACUAUAUCUAGUCAAAGAAUGAGGGGGGUGAAUUUAAUCUUUUAUGCCACUGGAAUGGCAGCUGCUCCCAGCUGCCUGAGUCUGUGAAGGGUGAGGAAGACAGAACUGCCUUUCAGUGUGCAGAGAAUUUUCCCUUUGAAUAUUCCAAACGGGAGCUUUGCACAUGUGCCUCAAGAACUAAUUGUCUAGGUUCCGUCAGGAAUGCAGCAGGAGAGGAGCGUAUUUCAUGCUUAAGACCAGAGAGGAGCCACGCAAUACUCAGUGGAUAAAAGGCUUGCAGUCCCAGCUGGGAAAAAGAGUCCCAUUAUCUCCCAGCUGCAUAGACAUUCCAUACGGCUUGGUUCUGCCUGGAUGCACAGCAUGCCUGACUGAGGACUCCAGACAGAGUUCUGCAGAAAAAUUGUAAAGAUCCCGAGACAUUUCCCUGAUAGAUUGCUAACAAACUGACUAGAAGAUACAAUCUUCUUUCCUGCUGAUUGCAUGGGAGAAAUUUUUGACCUUCGAACGUGGAGAUGAGGUUGCUAUGGAAACUGGUAAUUCUGCUGCCACUCAUAAACUCUUGUGCAGGUGAGGGUCGUUUCAGCCGUCCUAUUUUUAUCCAGGAGCCACAAGAUGUCAUUUUUCCUUUGGAUUUAUCUAGAUCUGAAAUUAUUCUGACUUGUACUGCAAAUGGAUACCCUUCUCCCCAUUACAGGUGGAAACAGAAUGGUACAGAUAUUGACUUCGGCAUGACUUAUCACUAUAGGUUGGAUGGAGGCAGUUUGGCCAUCAGCAGCCCCAGAACAGAUCAAGAUAUUGGCAUAUACCAGUGUCUGGCCACCAAUCCUGUGGGCACCAUUCUGAGUAGAAAAGCCAAGCUACAGUUUGCAUAUAUUGAAGACUUUGAAACCAAAACCAGAAGCACAGUAUCUGUCCGAGAAGGUCAAGGAGUGGUACUACUCUGUGGCCCACCACCACAUUUUGGAGAAUUAUCAUAUGCCUGGACCUUCAAUGAUAGCCCUUUGUAUGUUCAAGAGGACAAGCGAAGAUUUGUAUCUCAAGACACAGGGAACUUGUACUUUGCCAAAGUAGAACCAUCUGAUGUGGGCAAUUAUACUUGCUUUGUCACAAACAAAGAGGCCCAUAGAAGUGUCCAAGGUCCACCUACGCCUUUAGUGCUGCGCACUGAUGGUGUCAUGGGGGAAUAUGAGCCAAAGAUUGAAGUGCGUUUUCCUGAAACAAUACAAGCUGCAAAGGAUUCAUCUAUAAAACUGGAAUGCUUUGCCCUUGGAAAUCCAGUCCCUGAUAUUAGUUGGAAAAGGUUGGAUGGAAGCCCGAUGCCAGGGAAAAUCAAGUACAGCAAAUCCCAAGCUAUCCUUGAAAUCCCCAAGUUCCAACAAGAGGAUGAAGGCUUCUAUGAAUGCAUCGCAGGUAACCUUCGAGGAAGAAACCUUGCAAAGGGUCAACUAAUUUUCUAUGCUCCCCCAGAAUGGGAACAGAAAAUCCAAAACACAUACCUUUCUAUCUAUGACAGCUUGUUUUGGGAAUGCAAAGCUAGUGGAAAUCCAAAUCCUUCGUACACGUGGCUAAAGAAUGGUCAACGUCUCAACACAGAAGAAAGAAUUCAGAUUGAAAAUGGGACUCUUAUCAUCACCAUGCUGAACAUUUCAGACUCUGGGAUCUACCAGUGUGCUGCAGAAAACAAAUAUCAGACAAUUUAUGCAAAUGCAGAAUUGAGAGUUUUAGCCUCAGCUCCAGAUUUCUCCAAAAAUCCCAUUAAAAAAAUUUCAGUUGUUCAAGUUGGUGGUGAUAUUUCUAUUGAAUGCAAACCAAAUGCUUUCCCCAAAGCAUCGAUUUCCUGGAAAAGAGGAACAGAGAACCUGAAACAAAGUAAAAGAGUUCUUUUCUUGGAGGAUGGCAGCCUUAAGAUAUGCAAUGUUACCAGAGCAGAUGCUGGGUCUUACACCUGUGUAGCUACAAAUCAAUUUGGCAAUGGGAAAAGCAGUGGAGGUCUCGUCGUGAAAGAGAGAACGAUCAUUACAGUACCACCAUCUAAAAUGGAUGUUACAGUUGGAGAGAGCAUCGUCUUACCCUGCCAAGUGUCUCAUGACCCCACCAUGGAAGUUCUAUUUGUUUGGUACUUUAAUGGAGAUAUUAUAGAUUUAAAGAAAGGAGUAGCCCAUUUUGAACGAAUUGGGGGAGAAUCUGUUGGGGAUUUGAUGAUAAGGAAUAUUCAAUUAGGCCAUUCGGGAAAAUAUCUAUGCACAGUACAAACAACACUAGAACGCUUGUCUGCUGUAGCUGAUAUCAUUGUGAGAGGUCCCCCAGGGCCCCCAGAGGAUGUAAAAGUGGAGCACAUCUCUAGUACGACCUCCCAGCUCAGCUGGAGACCAGGUCCUGAUAAUAACAGCCCCAUUCAAAUUUUUACUAUUCAAACUCGGACACCCUUUUCUGUGGGCUGGCAAGCGGUUGCUACAGUCCCUGAAAUUCUCAAUGGACAGACAUACAAUGCAACAGUCGUUGGUUUGAGUCCUUGGGUGGAAUACGAAUUUCGUGUUGUUGCUGGGAACAACAUUGGAAUUGGAGAGCCAAGCAAACCAUCAGAGCUGCUGAGAACCAAAGCAUCAGUCCCCAAUGUGGCACCAGGAAAUAUCAAUGGAGGCGGUGGAAGCAGAUCGGAACUUGUCAUUACGUGGGAGUUCAAAAGAUUUUUCAGGAGUAUUCAGUGGUUGGUUGCAUUCUGCCCAAGGCCAUUCCUGAAGAACUACAGAAUGGAGAGGGGUUUGGAUAUAUCGUCAUGUUUCGGCCAGUAGGCACAACCGCCUGGAUGAAAGAAAGGGUGGCUCUUGUAGAAUCAUCCAAGUUCAUCUAUAGAAAUGAAAGCAUCAUGCCUCUGUCUCCCUUUGAAGUCAAAGUGGGAGUGUACAAUAAUGAAGGAGAGGGAUCCCUGAGUACUGUGACCAUUGUCUACUCUGGGGAAGAUGAGCCUCAGCUGGCCCCAAGAGGAACUUCUGUCCAGAGUUUUUCUGCUUCUGAAAUGGAGGUUUCCUGGAAUGCUAUUGCUUGGAAUAGAAACACUGGAAGAGUGCUAGGCUAUGAGGUCUUAUACUGGACAGACAACUCCAAAGAAUCUAUGAUUGGUAAAAUUAGAGUCAGUGGAAAUGUCACAACCAAGAACAUCACAGGACUAAGAGCUAAUACGAUUUACUUUGCCUCUGUGAGAGCCUAUAACACUGCAGGGACUGGACCCUCAAGUCUGCCAGUUAAUGUCACCACCAAAAAGUCCCCUCCUAGCCAACCACCAGCAAACAUUGCCUGGAAGCUGUCAAAUUCUAAAUUAUGCUUGAACUGGGAGCAUGUAAAAACCAUGGAAAAUGAGUCUGAAGUGCUGGGCUACAAGAUCCUCUAUCGGCAGAACCGACAGAGUAAAACUCAUAUUUUGGAAACAAAUAAUACAUCUGCUGAACUCCUGGUUCCAUUUGAAGAAGACUAUUUGAUUGAAAUCAGAACAGUCAGUGAUGGUGGAGAUGGAAGCAGCAGUGAGGAAAUCAGAAUUCCAAAAAUGUCAAGUUUGAGUUCCACAGGAGUUCAGAUCUCGAAGCCCAGCACCCAGUCCCUGUCAAUGGUUGGGGUUUUUUACUGUUUUGCUAUUCACCCACUUUCGAGAUGAACCAAUCCAUGGAUCUUUGGGAAUUUUCUGAGAGCAAACCAUUCUGUAAAUCCAUUCUCCAGCCUCUAUCACAAGACAUAUUCUUAAUACAGACUUGUUUGGAAAGAAGAAAAUGUAUAUUACUAAGCUCUUGUAAAUAUCUGUGGUACAUUAAUAAAACAGUUUUAAACACUUUGAAA
Mus musculus (house mouse) is the source of this 4069-nucleotide RNA transcript. It is a transcript of the gene named contactin 6, with no coding region annotated. The transcript is spliced from 23 exons. The record is from RefSeq and is marked validated. Lineage: Eukaryota; Metazoa; Chordata; Mammalia; Rodentia; Muridae.